This 560-nucleotide ribosomal RNA is filed under the name Fusarium verticillioides. RNAcentral's name for it is "eukaryotic LSU rRNA". The stretch from base 185 to 338 matches the Rfam family "5.8S ribosomal RNA". Lineage: Eukaryota; Fungi; Ascomycota; Sordariomycetes; Hypocreales; Nectriaceae. The record is from RNAcentral.
AAGGUCUCCGUUGGUGAACCAGCGGAGGGAUCAUUACCGAGUUUACAACUCCCAAACCCCUGUGAACAUACCAAUUGUUGCCUCGGCGGAUCAGCCCGCUCCCGGUAAAACGGGACGGCCCGCCAGAGGACCCCUAAACUCUGUUUCUAUAUGUAACUUCUGAGUAAAACCAUAAAUAAAUCAAAACUUUCAACAACGGAUCUCUUGGUUCUGGCAUCGAUGAAGAACGCAGCAAAAUGCGAUAAGUAAUGUGAAUUGCAGAAUUCAGUGAAUCAUCGAAUCUUUGAACGCACAUUGCGCCCGCCAGUAUUCUGGCGGGCAUGCCUGUUCGAGCGUCAUUUCAACCCUCAAGCCCCCGGGUUUGGUGUUGGGGAUCGGCGAGCCCUUGCGGCAAGCCGGCCCCGAAAUCUAGUGGCGGUCUCGCUGCAGCUUCCAUUGCGUAGUAGUAAAACCCUCGCAACUGGUACGCGGCGCGGCCAAGCCGUUAAACCCCCAACUUCUGAAUGUUGACCUCGGAUCAGGUAGGAAUACCCGCUGAACUUAAGCAUAUCAAUAAGCGG